RNAcentral lists this long non-coding RNA (1639 nucleotides) under Oncorhynchus mykiss (rainbow trout). RNAcentral's name for it is "lncRNA (ENSOMYG00000063524.1)". Lineage: Eukaryota; Metazoa; Chordata; Actinopteri; Salmoniformes; Salmonidae. The record is from RNAcentral.
CUUUACCCCCAGGCACCUCCACCAACUGUCUACAUUUGUCACUAUUCUAAGUUGUUGAGAGAGAAAGAGAAAAAGAGAGAGAGUAAGAAGGGUUGCAUAGGUCCUACUGUGGGUCUACUGGGACCCCCUGGGUCUUACCCAAGGUUUACUGAGACAUACUGGGUCUUACCCAGGCCUACUGAGACAUACUGGGUCUUACCCAGGUCUACUGAGACAUACUGGGUCUUACCCAGGUCUACUGGGACAUACUGGGUCUUACCCAGGUGUACUGAGACAUCCUGGGUCUUACCCAGGUCUACUGAGACAUACUGGGUCUUACCCAGGUCUACUGAGACAUACUGGGUCUUACCCAGGUCUACUGAGACAUACUGGGUCUUACCAAGACAAGAAAGAACAUUCAUGAAGGCAUCUGAAUUCACAGGGAGGGACAGGGACACUGGCAGGUUGCAUUUCAGAGAGAGAAUAUAUCAUAGUUUAGUUUUGGUGUGUAGCCUCUCUACUGUUGGCUUGGAUGAACAGAUUACUGUUGCUGGCACAAGCGAGAGAGAGAGAGAGAGAGAGAGAGAGAGAGAGAGAGACAGAGAGAGAGAGAGAGAGAGAGAGAGAGAGAGAGAGAGACAGACAGAGAGAGAGAGAGAGACAGACAGAGAGAGAGAGAGAGACAGAGAGAGGGAGAGAGAGAGGUCUGUGGAAGACGGGGGGCUCGCCAUUGUAAUGCUAUGAAAGGAAGGAGAGAUGGCUCUGUUGCUGUAGCAGCUGCACGCUUUUUACCACAUGGGGGUGGUAGGCACUGCAAGAUGAGACGAACUAGCCGUGUGUGUGUGUGUGUGUGUGUGUGUGUGUGUGUGUGUGUGUGUGUGUGUGUGUGUGUGUGUGUGGCAGACACACACCAACCCACACUAUCAAUGGACUGGUGCUUGGCUGUCUGGGCUGUAUCACCUGCCAAGGUAUUGGAGCUACCACUGUUCUGAAGGAGAGCAGGCUUGGCAUGAACGGCCAGGGUGGUGAGUUUAGCUUAUUACACUGGAGGCCUUUUAGGCCUAGUUUCCAUGUUGGACUCAAGCAAACAAGAGGAAAAGCUCAUUUCCUUUCUUUUAUCCUUAUCCUCCUCUUCCCUUCACUCACUAUAAUUCCCUUCAGUCUCCUUCUCUCUAUGUUGCUCACUAUAAUUCCCUUCAGCCUCCUUCUCUCUAUGUUGCUCACUAUAAUUCCCUUCAGUCUCCUUCUCUCUAUGUUGCUCACUAUAAUUCCCUUCAGCCUCCUUCUCUCUGUGUCGCUCACUAUAAUUCCCUUCAGUCUCCUUCUCUCUAUGUUGCUCACUAUAAUUCCCUUCAGUCUCCUUCUCUCUAUGUUGCUCACUAUAAUUCCCUUCAGUCUCCUUCUCUCUAUGUUGCUCACUGUAAUUCCCUUCAGUCUCCUCCUCUUCCCUUCACUCACUAUAAUUCCCUUCAGCCUCCUUCUCUCUAUGUUGCUCACUAUAAUUCCCUUCAGUCUCCUUCUCUCUAUGUUGCUCACUAUAAUUCCCUUCAGUCUCCUUCUCUCUAUGCUGCUCACUAUAAUUCCCUUCAGCCUCCUUCUCUCUGUGUCGCUCACUAUAAUUCGCCAUUUCUUUCUGGUGGGAUUGGAAUUGGUGAUUUAG